Molecule: ribosomal RNA, 141 nt
Filed under: Hordeum vulgare
Lineage: Eukaryota; Viridiplantae; Streptophyta; Magnoliopsida; Poales; Poaceae
Description: partial 28S ribosomal RNA
Rfam family: Eukaryotic large subunit ribosomal RNA
Source: RNAcentral
CGACCCCAGGUCAGGCGGGACUACCCGCUGAGUUUAAGCAUAUAAAUAAGCGGAGGAGAAGAAACUUACAAGGAUUCCCCUAGUAACGGCGAGCGAACCGGGAACAGCCCAGCUUGAGAAUCGGGCGGCUGUGCCGUCCGA